This 468-nucleotide ribosomal RNA is filed under the name uncultured bacterium. Its description in RNAcentral is "partial 16S ribosomal RNA". It matches the Rfam family "Bacterial small subunit ribosomal RNA", at positions 28 to 507 of the family's 1533-position model. The record is from RNAcentral.
GACGAACGCUGGCGGCGUGCUUAACACAUGCAAGUCGAACGGACAGGCCCUGCUUUUGUGGGGUUCUCGAGUGGCGAACGGGUGAGUAACACGUGAGUAACCUGCCCUUGACUUUGGUAUAACUUCAGGAAACUGGGGCUAAUACCGGAUAGGAGCUCCUGCUGCAUGGUGGUGGUUGGAAAGUUUCGGCGGUUGGGGAUGGACUCGCGGCUUAUCAGCUUGUUGGUGGGGUAGUGGCUUACCAAGGCUUUGACGGGUAGCCUGCCUGAGAGGGUGACCGGCCACAUUAGGACUGAGAUACGGACCAGACUCCUACGGGAGGCAGCAGUGGAGAAUAUUGCAGAAUGGGCGGACGCCUGAUGCAGCAACGUCGCGUGCGGGAUGCCGGCCUUCGAGUUGUAAACCGCUUUCGCCUGUGCUGAAGCGUGAGUGACGGUAAUGGGUAAAGAAGCACCGGCUAACUACGUG